This 252-nucleotide ribosomal RNA is filed under the name uncultured bacterium. Its description in RNAcentral is "partial 16S ribosomal RNA". It matches the Rfam family "Bacterial small subunit ribosomal RNA", at positions 524 to 776 of the family's 1533-position model. The record is from RNAcentral.
UACGGAGGAUGCGAGCGUUAUCCGGAUUUAUUGGGUUUAAAGGGUGCGUAGGCGGGAUGCCAAGUCAGCGGUAAAAAUGCGGUGCUCAACGCCGUCGAGCCGUUGAAACUGGCGUUCUUGAGUGGGCGAGAAGUAUGCGGAAUGCGUGGUGUAGCGGUGAAAUGCAUUGAUAUCACGCAGAACUCCGAUUGCGAAGGCAGCAUACCGGCGCCCUACUGACGCUGAGGCACGAAAGCGUGGGCAUCGAACAGG